CGUGUAGGCGGCUCCGUAAGUCGGGUGUGAAAUCCCUCGGCUCAACUGAGGAAGUGCACUCGAUACUGCAGAGCUAGAGUACCGGAGAGGGUGGUGGAAUUCCUGGUGUAGAGGUGAAAUUCGUAGAUAUCAGGAGGAACACCGGCGGCGAAGGCGGCCACCUGGACGGAUACUGACGCUCAGACGCGAAAGCGUGGGUAGCAAACAGGAUUAGAUACCCUGGUAGUCCACGCUGUAAACGAUGGGUACUAGGUGUCGCGGGUAUUGACCCCUGCGGUGCCGAAGCUAACGCAUUAAGUACCCCGCCUGGGGACUACGGCCGCAAGGCUAAA
RNAcentral lists this ribosomal RNA (332 nucleotides) under uncultured Chondromyces sp. RNAcentral's name for it is "bacterial SSU rRNA". It matches the Rfam family "Bacterial small subunit ribosomal RNA", at positions 568 to 898 of the family's 1533-position model. The record is from RNAcentral. Lineage: Bacteria; Pseudomonadati; Myxococcota; Polyangiales; Polyangiaceae.